UCUUCAUUAUACGUACUCUCUCACCGGUCAGAGCUGCGAGAGAGCACGCUGAAUGAAGAGA
This is a non-coding RNA of Pristionchus pacificus, 61 nucleotides long. NCBI's taxonomy places the organism in Eukaryota, Metazoa, Nematoda, Chromadorea, Rhabditida, Neodiplogasteridae. The record is from Rfam.